UGGGGAAUAUUGGACAAUGGGCGCAAGCCUGAUCCAGCCAUGCCGCGUGAGUGAUGAAGGCCCUAGGGUUGUAAAGCUCUUUCACCGGUGAAGAUAAUGACGGUAACCGGAGAAGAAGCCCCGGCUAACCUCGUGCCAGCAGCCGCGGUAAUACGAAGGGGGCUAGCGUUGUUCGGAUUUACUGGGCGUAAAGCGCACGUAGGCGGACUAUUAAGUCAGGGGUGAAAUCCCGGGGCUCAACCCCGGAACUGCCUUUGAUACUGGUAGUCUUGAGUUCGAGAGAGGUGAGUGGAAUUCCGAGUGUAGAGGUGAAAUUCGUAGAUAUUCGGAGGAACACCAGUGGCGAAGGCGGCUCACUGGCUCGAUACUGACGCUGAGGUGCGAAAGCGUGGGGAGCAAACAGG
Molecule: ribosomal RNA, 404 nt
Filed under: Actinomycetes bacterium
Lineage: Bacteria; Bacillati; Actinomycetota; Actinomycetes
Description: Actinobacteria bacterium partial 16S ribosomal RNA
Rfam family: Bacterial small subunit ribosomal RNA
Source: RNAcentral